RNAcentral lists this ribosomal RNA (497 nucleotides) under uncultured bacterium. RNAcentral describes it as "partial 16S ribosomal RNA". It matches the Rfam family "Bacterial small subunit ribosomal RNA", at positions 28 to 507 of the family's 1533-position model. The record is from RNAcentral.
GACGAACGCUGGCGGCGUGCCUAAUACAUGCAAGUUGAGCGCUGAAGGUUGGUACUUGUCCCCACUGGAUGAGCAGCGAACGGGUGAGUAACGCGUGGGGAAUCUGCCUUUGAGCGGGGGACAACAUUUGGAAACGAAUGCUAAUACCGCAUAAAAACUUUAAACACAAGUUUUAAGUUUGAAAGAUGCAAUUGCAUCACUCAAAGAUGAUCCCGCGUUGUAUUAGCUAGUUGGUGAGGUAAAGGCUCACCAAGGCGAUGAUACAUAGCCGACCUGAGAGGGGGAUCGGCCACAGUGGGACUGAGACACGGCCCAAACUCCUACGGGAGGCAGCAGGAGGGAAUCUUCGGCAAUGGACGAAAGUCUGACCGAGCAACGCCGCGGGAGUGAAGAAGGGUUUCGGAUCGUAAAACUCUGUUGGUAGAGAAGAACGUUGGUGAGAGUGGAAAGCUCAUCAAGUGACGGUAACUACCCAGAAAGGGACGGCUAACUACGUG